This 1459-nucleotide ribosomal RNA is filed under the name Staphylococcus aureus. RNAcentral describes it as "partial 23S ribosomal RNA". It matches the Rfam family "Bacterial large subunit ribosomal RNA", at positions 1448 to 2904 of the family's 2925-position model. Lineage: Bacteria; Bacillati; Bacillota; Bacilli; Caryophanales; Staphylococcaceae. The record is from RNAcentral.
CUAUAAUCGUUUUAAUCGAUGGGGGGACGCAGUAGGAUAGGCGAAGCGUGCGAUUGGAUUGCACGUCUAAGCAGUAAGGCUGAGUAUUAGGCAAAUCCGGUACUCAUUAAGGCUGAGCUGUGAUGGGGAGAAGACAUUGUGUCUUCGAGUCGUUGAUUUCACACUGCCGAGAAAAGCCUCUAGAUAGAAAAUAGGUGCCCGUACCGCAAACCGACACAGGUAGUCAAGAUGAGAAUUCUAAGGUGAGCGAGCGAACUCUCGUUAAGGAACUCGGCAAAAUGACCCCGUAACUUCGGGAGAAGGGGUGCUCUUUAGGGUUAACGCCCAGAAGAGCCGCAGUGAAUAGGCCCAAGCGACUGUUUAUCAAAAACACAGGUCUCUGCUAAACCGUAAGGUGAUGUAUAGGGGCUGACGCCUGCCCGGUGCUGGAAGGUUAAGAGGAGUGGUUAGCUUCUGCGAAGCUACGAAUCGAAGCCCCAGUAAACGGCGGCCGUAACUAUAACGGUCCUAAGGUAGCGAAAUUCCUUGUCGGGUAAGUUCCGACCCGCACGAAAGGCGUAACGAUUUGGGCACUGUCUCAACGAGAGACUCGGUGAAAUCAUAGUACCUGUGAAGAUGCAGGUUACCCGCGACAGGACGGAAAGACCCCGUGGAGCUUUACUGUAGCCUGAUAUUGAAAUUCGGCACAGCUUGUACAGGAUAGGUAGGAGCCUUUGAAACGUGAGCGCUAGCUUACGUGGAGGCGCUGGUGGGAUACUACCCUAGCUGUGUUGGCUUUCUAACCCGCACCACUUAUCGUGGUGGGAGACAGUGUCAGGCGGGCAGUUUGACUGGGGCGGUCGCCUCCUAAAAGGUAACGGAGGCGCUCAAAGGUUCCCUCAGAAUGGUUGGAAAUCAUUCAUAGAGUGUAAAGGCAUAAGGGAGCUUGACUGCGAGACCUACAAGUCGAGCAGGGUCGAAAGACGGACUUAGUGAUCCGGUGGUUCCGCAUGGAAGGGCCAUCGCUCAACGGAUAAAAGCUACCCCGGGGAUAACAGGCUUAUCUCCCCCAAGAGUUCACAUCGACGGGGAGGUUUGGCACCUCGAUGUCGGCUCAUCGCAUCCUGGGGCUGUAGUCGGUCCCAAGGGUUGGGCUGUUCGCCCAUUAAAGCGGUACGCGAGCUGGGUUCAGAACGUCGUGAGACAGUUCGGUCCCUAUCCGUCGUGGGCGUAGGAAAUUUGAGAGGAGCUGUCCUUAGUACGAGAGGACCGGGAUGGACAUACCUCUGGUGUACCAGUUGUCGUGCCAACGGCAUAGCUGGGUAGCUAUGUGUGGACGGGAUAAGUGCUGAAAGCAUCUAAGCAUGAAGCCCCCCUCAAGAUGAGAUUUCCCAACUUCGGUUAUAAGAUCCCUCAAAGAUGAUGAGGUUAAUAGGUUCGAGGUGGAAGCAUGGUGACAUGUGGAGCUGACGAAUACUAA